UCAGCUGGGGCCAAAGAGAAGGGAAACGGGCAAUUACACAUCUGCUGCCUGUAGCUGGAGCCAGCCCAGCCAGUGGACAGGCACUCACUGCUCAGCCAGCAUCAGCUGUGAGGCCUGGGCUCAGACCUAAGCCACCAGGAAUGAGGACUGCAUUCCUAAGAAAUGCUGGAGAGGAGACAGCCAAGGGAAAGCCUCCACGGCACGGUGUCCCCAUGGCACAGCAGGCUGCAGCCUCCAGACAUCCCUGUAAAUCCAGCCUGAGGUCAUCCACGCUACACACACAGCUGAAGUGACUUCAGAAAGCUCCAAGAGCUGGUCAUCUAAACUCUUGGCAAGGCUCUUCAGCUGCCAGCAUACAAAGUUACCCUCGCUGCCUGCCCUACAACCUGAACAGAGAAACUUGUGCAAAGCCUGCACAGAUGUGGCUUUCCAGCCAAGUAUGUCUGGUUCCUGAAAGGGGAAUAACCCAAGCUAGAGAAUAAACAUGACCUGCAGAUUACAAGUGCAGACAACAUGAGACUCCUCGAGCUCCUUCCAUCUUCUUACAUGGCUAUUACGAGAAGCAGCUGCAUGAAAGGAUAUUGCACCAUCUUGGCUCCUAAAUCCAGCAGAGCACAGGAUUACAUUCAUUGACAAGGAUUCUGAGCUGGUUCCCUCCUCGAGGAGGAGGAGGGAGAUUUCCCUUUCCAUGGCAUGAUGCAAUGCUGACAGUUGUACACAACCAGCUCUGAAGACAGAGACAGAUGCCAGUGCUUGCAUGGAAGAGUUUGACAUCUGAUCCUUCAUGUCCUGUUUGUUCAACAAAAGAAGCAGCAUGUGAGCAUUGGAUUUGAGGUGACAGGCAGAUUCAGGUGCUACAGGGCUGUCUACACCCACCAAGGCUUCCACAAGGGGGAAUGAGGGAAGGGAUAUUUUCUUUCAGAGUCUGGAAACACACUGUAGAAAGUUUCAUUGUUAUACUAAUACUGGAAUCAACAGCAUUGGGAUAUUUUGAAAAUAUUCUUAAUUUACUACUCAUUUUGCUCCACUACAACCACAAUCACUUUGAUUUGUAUAAUAAACUCAUGUUCCCACUG
Molecule: long non-coding RNA, 1076 nt
Organism: Parus major (Great Tit)
Lineage: Eukaryota; Metazoa; Chordata; Aves; Passeriformes; Paridae
Exons: 4
Source: RefSeq, a predicted model, not a curated record